RNAcentral lists this ribosomal RNA (320 nucleotides) under uncultured eukaryote. RNAcentral describes it as "partial 18S ribosomal RNA". It matches the Rfam family "Eukaryotic small subunit ribosomal RNA", at positions 1470 to 1796 of the family's 1831-position model. The record is from RNAcentral.
CCCUUAGAUGUUCUGGGCUGCACGCGUGUUACAAUCGGGAGUACAACAAGAUUGCAAAUCCUAGUGGAUGAGUGGUUCUUCGAAAUUUUCUGAAGACUGGGAUAGUUGAUUGAAAUUAUUCAACUCGAACGAGGAAUUCCUUGUAAUUGUAAUUCAUUAUAUUGUAAUGAAUACGUCCCUGCCCUUUGUACACACCGCCCGUUGCUCCUACCGAUUGAACGAUCCGGUGAAUUAUUUGGAGUAGCUCUGGAAGUUGCAGAACUUCCUAUGUCACGAAAUUUUGUAAACCUUAUCGUUUAGAGGAAGGAAAAGUCGUAACA